This 484-nucleotide ribosomal RNA is filed under the name uncultured bacterium. Its description in RNAcentral is "partial 16S ribosomal RNA". It matches the Rfam family "Bacterial small subunit ribosomal RNA", at positions 28 to 507 of the family's 1533-position model. The record is from RNAcentral.
GAUGAACGCUGGCGGCGUGCCUAAUACAUGCAAGUCGAACGGAAAGGCGAGGAUCUUGCUGCUCUCGAGUGGCGGACGGGCGGGUGAGUCACAGGUGGAUAACCCACCUAUAAGGCUGAGGCAACGGCGGGAGAGCGGAGCUAAUACCGGAUAAUAUAUUGAACGGGGUGGUUCGAAAGUUAUAGAGGGGUUGGCUGUGACUGCGGGGUAUCUGGUCGUUGGUGUGGUUAAGGGUUACCAAGGCGGCGAGCCCUAGCAGGGCUGAGAGGGCGACCGGCCAUACGAGGACGGAGACACGGUCCAGACCCCUACGGGAGGCAGCAGUCGGGAAUGUUGCAGAAUGGGCGAAAGUCUGACGGAGCGAGGCCGCGUGAUGGAUGAAGGCCGCCGGAUCGUAAAAGGCUUUUGGUAGGUAAGAACCUAUCUGUAAGUACGAAGCUUUGUUGUGACGGUACCUAAAUAAAAAGCCCCGGCUAACUACGUG